RNAcentral lists this ribosomal RNA (502 nucleotides) under uncultured bacterium. RNAcentral describes it as "partial 16S ribosomal RNA". It matches the Rfam family "Bacterial small subunit ribosomal RNA", at positions 899 to 1397 of the family's 1533-position model. The record is from RNAcentral.
ACUCAAAUGAAUUGACGGGGGCCCGCACAAGCGGUGGAGCAUGUGGUUUAAUUCGACGCAACGCGAAGAACCUUACCUGGGCUUGAACUACUAGUGGUAGCUCUUUGGAAACAUUGAGCGACCCGCAAGGGAGCUAGUAGAGGUGCUGCAUGGUUGUCGUCAGCUCGUGUCGUGAGAUGUUGGGUUAAGUCCCGCAACGAGCGCAACCCCUACUUCAUGUUGCUAAUCCCGCAAGGGAUGCACUCUUGAAGAACUGCCUUCGAUAAGAAGGAGGAAGGUGGGGACGACGUCAAAUCCUCAUGGCCCUUAUGUCCAGGGCUACACACGUGCUACAAUGGCCGGUACAACGGGAAGCAAUACCGCAAGGUGGAGCAAAACCCUGAAAGCCGGCCCCAGUUCAGAUCGUGGGCUGCAACUCGCCCACGUGAAGGUGGAAUCGCUAGUAAUCGCGAAUCAGCAGGUCGCGGUGAAUACGUUCCCGGGCCUUGUACACACCGCCCGU